GUUGGGUAGGGGAGCGUUCUGUAAGCCUGUGAAGGUGUGUCGUGAGGCAUGCUGGAGGUAUCAGAAGUGCGAAUGCUGACAUAAGUAACGAUAAAGCGGGUGAAAAGCCCGCUCGCCGGAAGACCAAGGGUUCCUGUCCAACGUUAAUCGGGGCAGGGUGAGUCGACCCCUAAGGCGAGGCCGAAAGGCGUAGUCGAUGGGAAACGGGUUAAUAUUCCCGUACUUGGUGUUACUGCGAAGGGGGGACGGAGAAGGCUAUGUUGGCCGGGCGACGGUUGUCCCGGUUUAAGCGUGUAGG
RNAcentral lists this ribosomal RNA (298 nucleotides) under Salmonella enterica subsp. enterica serovar Infantis. RNAcentral describes it as "partial 23S ribosomal RNA". It matches the Rfam family "Bacterial large subunit ribosomal RNA", at positions 1223 to 1524 of the family's 2925-position model. The record is from RNAcentral. Lineage: Bacteria; Pseudomonadati; Pseudomonadota; Gammaproteobacteria; Enterobacterales; Enterobacteriaceae.